Molecule: ribosomal RNA, 253 nt
Filed under: uncultured bacterium
Lineage: Bacteria
Description: partial 16S ribosomal RNA
Rfam family: Bacterial small subunit ribosomal RNA
Source: RNAcentral
UACGGAGGGUGCAAGCGUUAUCCGGAUUCACUGGGUUUAAAGGGUGCGUAGGCGGGUUAUUAAGUCAGUGGUGAAAGCCUUCAGCUUAACUGAAGAACUGCCAUUGAUACUGAUGAUCUUGAGUAUGAUUGAGGUGGGCGGAAUGUGUCAUGUAGCGGUGAAAUGCUUAGAUAUGACAUAGAACACCCAUUGCGAAGGCAGCUAACUACGCGAUAAUUGACGCUGAUGCACGAAAGCGUGGGGAUCAAACAGG